RNAcentral lists this long non-coding RNA (1887 nucleotides) under Malus domestica (apple). RNAcentral's name for it is "long non-coding RNA (MDOM_LNC006056)". The record is from RNAcentral. Lineage: Eukaryota; Viridiplantae; Streptophyta; Magnoliopsida; Rosales; Rosaceae.
UUCACCUACAAAGCUUCAACUCCAAAGCUUCACCUACAAAAGCUUCACCCACAAUAGCUUCACCUACAAAAGCUUCAUGAUGUGAGAAUUACUUGACACACAAAUUAAACCCUAUUGAUGACAAUUGUAGUAAUGAUGCAAGUAGGGAUCGUUCUAGACCGGGGAUUAACUAGGGAUGCUAAUCAACAAAUAUAAGACUCAAGAAUAUAAGAAGAAACUUAAAAACACAAAAGUAGGCUUUAAAACACUAAACUAGACUCAAAGAGUUCAAAACACUUUAAGGCACAAACUAAACAAACUUAAACACACUUCGAUACAAGAAAGUAAAUGGGAGGUAUUGGUUUGGAUGAGAUUGAGAUAACAACAAAAAGUAAAACUCAAUAGAUGGUUUAUGGAUUAGCUAGAGAUCCAUUCUUCACACAUGACACACUUGUACAUGAAUUGAUUUCCAAUUGCUUUUCAAUAGAUUAUGAAACUCAACACCCCAGAUUAACCGUGAUGCACUAAUUAAUCCUCAGAUUUUCCUUGAUUUAUUGAAUUGGAUGAAUGCAUACGACAAUCCAAAUUAUUCUCCAAAAGUCCUCUACAUGAAUGCAUAAUAGAGAUACAAUCAAAGAUCAUUACGUUCUAUGAAAAUCAUAAGUGUUAACGAGGCAUUCGUAACUAUGAAUGCAUGAUACGUUUGCCAAGAAUUCAAUUAACGCAAUUGUGACUAGCAACCUUCACUACCAAUGAAUAUAAACUUGUAACGAUUAGGUGAAAACUCAUUUAUAUCCUAGCAUCAAAUUCAUGCAUGAAAACUAAGUAUGCAUCCUUAAUCAACAUACAAGAAUUAGUUUUGAAGAAAGUAGUUAAUUGAAUUGCAUUCACAACUUAUUAAAUCACAAUUGGAAGAAAUCAAUUCAUAUCUCAAACAUGUUCAUGGCUUCGAACUUCACCCUAGCUAAGUAAGGGUUUAGUUCCUCAUACUUGCAAUUAAACAAAAACAAUUGAUAUUAAACAUAGAGAAACAAAGUAGAAGACACCUAGAAUGCUCCAACAACUCCAAUGGAAUGGCUAGCACAACUCCAAGCACUCCUCCUUCUUUGCAAGCCUUGGAACUAAUGGAAAUGUGUAUGAAUGGCUGUGUGUCUUCCUUGAAGGCUGAAUGGUGUUUAUAUAGAGGUUGAAAAUGUCAAGCAAUGCAAGGUAAUGGACAAGGCACUCACGGCAAUGGAAGGAUGUGAAGCUGCCAGCUCCAUUUUGCAUGUGUGUGUGCUGUUUUUGUGCUCUUUCCACCUAGAAACAAUCAUUCCAAAGCCACCCAAAGUUAUAAGUGGAAGACCAACCAGAAAUCCACCUCAUAGUGGUCCAAUUUCUGCCAUUCCUUGCUGUCCAUUCACUACCAAUGUUGUAGAAAUCUGCCAACUCCAUUCCAUUGCCGUGUGUGUGUGUGUGUGUGCUGUCCUCAUCACUUCCCACUCCUCCAUGCUUUAAUUUCUGAUUCCUUGCUGCCUAUGUGGUGUGUUCCUUGCUGUUUUCUUUCCUUCUUGCUGCCCAUGUGGUGUUUAUACUUGCACAUACAUGUUCUUCAUCCAUUUAGCUAGCAAUAAACACAUUUUCUGCCAUCACAUGGCAUCUAUGAUGUUUGAAAUUGUAGGCCAACACUUUGCACACACACAUGCAGAUUUCUAGCCCUUUGAAUCAUCAAAUUCGUCCAUCCUCAUGUCUCCAUGUUUGCACCAUCCAAUCUUGGCCCAAAAAUGCUCCAAAAUGCAUCUUCUUGCAUCCUUGGCCCAUAGAACCUAUAAACACACGAAAAUGGCUUAAACUACUAACAUAACUAAGAACUAAGAACAUAAAUGCACGAAAACAAACAUACUAAGUCGCAUAAAUAUGCUCCUAUCA